AGCAGCCGCGGUAAUUCCAGCUCCAAUAGCGUAUAUUAAAGUUGUUGCAGUUAAAAAGCUCGUAGUUGAAUUUCGGGGUUAGUAGGUUGGUCAUGCCUCUGGUAUGUACUGGUCUCACUGAUUCCUCCUUCCUGAUGAAUCUUAAUGCCAUUAAUUUGGUGUUUUGGGGAAUUUGGACUGUUACUUUGAAAAAAAUUAGAGUGUUUAAAGCAAGCUAACGCUUGAAUACAUUAGCAUGGAAUAAUGAAAUAGGACGUUCGAUCCUAUUUUGUUGGUUUCUAGGAUUGACGUAAUGAUUAAUAGGGAUAGUUGGGGGCAUUAGUAUUCAAUUGUCAGAGGUGAAAUUCUUGGAUUUAUUGAAGACUAACCACUGCGAAAGCAUUUGCCAAGGAUGUUUUCAUUAAUCAAGAACGAAAGUUAGGGGAUCGAAGACGAUCAGAUACCGUCGUA
Molecule: ribosomal RNA, 450 nt
Filed under: uncultured Glomus
Lineage: Eukaryota; Fungi; Glomeromycota; Glomeromycetes; Glomerales; Glomeraceae
Description: SSU rRNA
Rfam family: Eukaryotic small subunit ribosomal RNA
Source: RNAcentral